Molecule: ribosomal RNA, 446 nt
Filed under: mastodon intestinal bacterium AN-12-6
Lineage: Bacteria; Bacillati; Bacillota; Clostridia; Eubacteriales
Description: bacterial SSU rRNA
Rfam family: Bacterial small subunit ribosomal RNA
Source: RNAcentral
CUGCUCAGGACGACNCUGNCGNCGUCCUAACACAUGCAAGUCGAGCGAUGAACCCNUUCGGGGUGGAUUAGCGGCGGACGGGUGAGUAACACGUGGGUAACCUGCCUUAUAGAGGGGGAUAGCCUUCCGAAAGGAAGAUUAAUACCGCAUAACAUGUUUNUAUCGCAUGGUAGANACAUCAAAGGAGNAAUCCGCUAUAAGAUGGACCCGCGGCGCAUUAGCUAGUUGGUGAGGUAAGGGCUCACCAAGGCGACGAUGCGUAGCCGACCUGAGAGGGUGAUCGGCCACAUUGGAACUGAGACACGGUCCAGACUCCUACGGGAGGCAGCAGUGGGGAAUAUUGCGCAAUGGGGGAAACCCUGACGCANCAACGCCGCGUGAAUGAAGAAGGCCUUAGGGUUGUAAAGUUCUGUUUUCUGGGACGAUAAUGACGGUACCAGAGGAUG